Brevibacillus choshinensis is the source of this 117-nucleotide non-coding RNA. Lineage: Bacteria; Bacillati; Bacillota; Bacilli; Caryophanales; Paenibacillaceae. The record is from Rfam.
UCUGGUGAUGAUGGCGGAGGGGACACACCCGUUCCCAUACCGAACACGGCCGUUAAGCCCUCCAGCGCCAAUGGUACUUGCUCCGCAGGGAGCCGGGAGAGUAGGACGUCGCCAGGC